Molecule: ribosomal RNA, 171 nt
Filed under: Fusarium acuminatum
Lineage: Eukaryota; Fungi; Ascomycota; Sordariomycetes; Hypocreales; Nectriaceae
Description: 5.8S ribosomal RNA
Source: RNAcentral
AUGCCUGUUCGAGCGUCAUUUCAACCCUCAAGCCCCCCGGGUUUGGUGUUGGGGAUCGGCUCUGCCCUUCUGGGCGGUGCCGCCCCCGAAAUACAUUGGCGGUCUCGCUGCAGCCUCCAUUGCGUAUUACCUAACACCUCGCAACUGGAACGCGGCGCGGCCAUGCCGUAA